This 468-nucleotide ribosomal RNA is filed under the name uncultured bacterium. Its description in RNAcentral is "partial 16S ribosomal RNA". It matches the Rfam family "Bacterial small subunit ribosomal RNA", at positions 28 to 507 of the family's 1533-position model. The record is from RNAcentral.
GACGAACGCUGGCGGCGUGCUUAACACAUGCAAGUCGAACGGAAAGGCCCUGCUUUUGUGGGGUGCUCGAGUGGCGAACGGGUGAGUAACACGUGAGUAACCUGCCCUUGACUUUGGGAUAACUUCAGGAAACUGGGGCUAAUACCGGAUAGGAGCUCCUGCUGCAUGGUGGGGGUUGGAAAGUUUCGGCGGUUGGGGAUGGACUCGCGGCUUAUCAGCUUGUUGGUGGGGUAGUGGCUUACCAAGGCUUUGACGGGUAGCCGGCCUGAGAGGGUGACCGGCCACAUUGGGACUGAGAUACGGCCCAGACUCCUACGGGAGGCAGCAGUGGGGGAUAUUGCACCAUGGGCGGAAGCCUGAUGCAGCAACGCCGCGUGCGGGAUGACGGCCUUCGGGUUGUAAACCGCUUUCGCCUGUGACGAAGCGUGAGUGACGGUAAUGGGUAAAGAAGCACCGGCUAACUACGUG